This 251-nucleotide ribosomal RNA is filed under the name uncultured bacterium. RNAcentral describes it as "partial 16S ribosomal RNA". It matches the Rfam family "Bacterial small subunit ribosomal RNA", at positions 525 to 775 of the family's 1533-position model. The record is from RNAcentral.
ACGUAGGGGGCGAGCGUUGUCCGGAAUGACUGGGCGUAAAGGGCGCGUAGGCGGCCGAUUAAGUCUGGAGUGAAAUCCCCGCUUUUAAGGUGGGAAUUGCUUUGGAGACUGGUUGGCUUGAGUGCAGAAGAGGUAAGUGGAAUUCCCAGUGUAGCGGUGAAAUGCGUAGAGAUUGGGAGGAACACCAGUGGCGAAGGCGACUUACUGGGCUGUAACUGACGCUGAGGCGCGAAAGCGUGGGGAGCGAACAG